GCCUGAGUGGCUCAGUUGGUUGAGCGUCUGACUUCAGCUCAGGUCAGGAUCUCACAGUUUGUGAGUUCAAGCCCUGCAUUGGGCU
RNAcentral lists this transfer RNA (85 nucleotides) under Felis catus (domestic cat). It matches the Rfam family "tRNA". From Rfam's summary of the family: Transfer RNA (tRNA) molecules are approximately 80 nucleotides in length. Their secondary structure includes four short double-helical elements and three loops (D, anti-codon, and T loops). The record is from Rfam by way of RNAcentral. Lineage: Eukaryota; Metazoa; Chordata; Mammalia; Carnivora; Felidae.